Molecule: transfer RNA, 73 nt
Filed under: Pteropus alecto (black flying fox)
Lineage: Eukaryota; Metazoa; Chordata; Mammalia; Chiroptera; Pteropodidae
Rfam family: tRNA
About the family: Transfer RNA (tRNA) molecules are approximately 80 nucleotides in length.
Source: Rfam by way of RNAcentral
GUUUCCAUAGUGUAGCAAUUAGCACAUCUGCUUUACAUGCAGAAGAUCCUAGGUUCACACCCCAGUGGAGCCA